Long non-coding RNA from Actinia tenebrosa (Australian red waratah sea anemone), 204 nucleotides. NCBI's taxonomy places the organism in Eukaryota, Metazoa, Cnidaria, Anthozoa, Actiniaria, Actiniidae. The record is from RefSeq and is a predicted model, not a curated record.
AUUCAGAGUUCAGUCAGUCAAUGAUUUCACAAUUCCACGCUACAGGAUUAAUUUCACGAGUUCAGGUUUUCACGAUUCGCUAGAAUGACAAUUGCAAAACCUUAUAUGAGAAUAUAUUCUGUCCAAGAAAAACGGAAUCAAUAUACUUACACAUAUGUGCUGUCCUGAAGAUAAAAUCAUUCGAAUUCCGGAUUCAUUUUUUAA